UACAGAGGGUGCAAGCGUUAAUCGGAAUUACUGGGCGUAAAGCGCACGUAGGCGGUUUUUUAAGUCAGAUGUGAAAGCCCCGGGCUCAACCUGGGAAUUGCAUUUGAAACUGGGAAACUAGAGUGUGUGAGAGGGGGGUAGAAUUCCAAGUGUAGCGGUGAAAUGCGUAGAGAUUUGGAGGAAUACCAGUGGUGAAGGCGGCCCCCUGGCACAACACUGACGCUCAGGUGCGAAAGCGUGGGGAGCAAACAGG
Molecule: ribosomal RNA, 253 nt
Filed under: uncultured bacterium
Lineage: Bacteria
Description: partial 16S ribosomal RNA
Rfam family: Bacterial small subunit ribosomal RNA
Source: RNAcentral